This 670-nucleotide ribosomal RNA is filed under the name uncultured bacterium. RNAcentral's name for it is "bacterial SSU rRNA". It matches the Rfam family "Bacterial small subunit ribosomal RNA", at positions 59 to 689 of the family's 1533-position model. The record is from RNAcentral.
CAGUCGAGCGAGCUUGCCUAGAUGAAUUUGGUGCUUGCACCAGAUGAAACUAGAUACAAGCGAGCGGCGGACGGGUGAGUAACACGUGGGUAACCUGCCCAAGAGACUGGGAUAACACCUGGAAACAGAUGCUAAUACCGGAUAACAACACUAGACGCAUGUCUAGAGUUUAAAAGAUGGUUCUGCUAUCACUCUUGGAUGGACCUGCGGUGCAUUAGCUAGUUGGUAAGGUAACGGCUUACCAAGGCAAUGAUGCAUGGCCGAGUUGAGAGACUGAUCGGCCACAUUGGGACUGAGACACGGCUCAAACUCCUACGGGAGGCAGCAGUAGGGAAUCUUCCACAAUGGACGCAAGUCUGAUGGAGCAACGCCGCGUGAGUGAAGAAGGGUUUCGGCUCGUAAAGCUCUGUUGGUAGUGAAGAAAGAUAGAGGUAGUAACUGGCCUUUAUUUGACGGUAAUUACUUAGAAAGUCACGGCUAACUACGUGCCAGCAGCCGCGGUAAUACGUAGGUGGCAAGCGUUGUCCGGAUUUAUUGGGCGUAAAGCGAGUGCAGGCGGUUCAAUAAGUCUGAUGUGAAAGCCUUCGGCUCAACCGGAGAAUUGCAUCAGAAACUGUUGAACUUGAGUGCAGAAGAGGAGAGUGGAACUCCAUGUGUAGCGGUGGAAUGC